This 4301-nucleotide long non-coding RNA is filed under the name Sus scrofa (pig). RNAcentral describes it as "lncRNA (ENSSSCG00000061781.1)". The record is from RNAcentral. Lineage: Eukaryota; Metazoa; Chordata; Mammalia; Artiodactyla; Suidae.
UAUAUCAACUAUACUGAAAUGAAUAAAUAAAUAAAUACAUACAUACAUAGAAAUUUACACCUGCCACACCUACACUGGCAGAAAGUUCUGACCUUCAUGAAGUCCUAAGUGCCUCUCAUUUAUAAAGAGGUUGGUAGCAUGAAACAAAGAAGAUAAAGUACUUAACCCAAUGCCUGGGACAAGGAAAGUACUAAGUAAAUGGUAUGAUUAUUAAUAAUCUCAGCCAAGUUAUCAAUGGCAUAGGAAUGGGAGUUUGUCAGGCUGUCAAACUGAGGUGAUUAUAGGGAAAUACUUAAGUUUCAUUUUCCUAGCCUUAAGCUAGGUAGCCCAUUUUAAGGACAUUAGCUAUUACGCUCAGUAAAAUGGUGCCACUGAAGGGUUUGCACAGAACUGUAGACUACUUUGACUUGUGUUUUAAAAGGGUCACUCUUGGGAGUUCCCAUUGUGGCUCAGCAGGUUAUGAACCCAGCUAGUAUCCUUGAGAAUUUGGAUUUGAUCCCUGGCCUUGCUCAGUGGGCUAAGGAUCUGGCAUUGUUGUGAACUAUGGUGUCGGUCUCAGACAUGGCUUGGAUCCUGCUUUGCUGUGGCUGUGAUGUAAGCUGGUAACUAUAGCUCCAACUCAACCCCUAGCCUAGGAACUUUCAUAGAUUGCAGGUGCGGCCCUUAAAAAAAAAAAAAUGCAGGGAAAAAAGGGUCACUCUUGCCUUCUGUGUUUCAACUCUGCAACUCGGAGGAAAGGGAGACUCAGGAAGACCUGGCAAGAAAUGCUGGCGCUCUAAGCAGCAUGGCAGCAAUGGAGGUGGUGAGAAGUACACAGGUUCUGGUUACAUUGCGAAGGUAAAGCCAGGUGGAUUUCCUACUCCAUGGAACAUAUGUGUGUGUCAUAGAACAUGGGUGUGUAUGUGUGUGAGAGAGAGGAGAUCCAGGGCCUGAAAAGGAAGUUGCUAUGAAUUAACUUCCUUCCUUCAACAAAUACGUACUGAAGAAGAGAUGUAGACAUUCGUUCUGUAGCACCCAGAGAUCCAAGGAGGCACCUGACAGAGUUGCUGCCGAGGAAGCAUCACGUUAUAGAAGCAUCUGCUUGGAGAGCAGAAUUUGUGAAGGGUUGGACAGACAGGGGAGGAAUGAGACAUCUCUAAACCAGUUUUUUUUUUUUUUUCCUGGAGUUUUGGCUACUCCCCUCUCCUCUUCCUAUUUGUCUGUCCUGUCCUGAGACGUGGUCCCACCCUUACCCCUAGUGUGUCGGGAACAUCCUCUCCCUGGGCCUGAUUCUUAAGAAUGUAUAUUUAGGAAAUAUUUUCUCUGUAACCAUCUCACUUGAAGACGAAGACCGUAUCAAUAGUCCAGACACUCGGAAAGCAAUGCGUGUCUCCCCAGGCUGAAGGCAUUUUCUUUCCUAACUAUUUCCAGCCUGCUUCCUUCCAGAUGCAUCUAGUGAACAUAUUCAGGCUCACGCAGAGGAGGAAGCUGUCUGAGGAAAGGGCAGGCAGCCUGCACACUCCAGCUGGGGCACUGUUUGCGGUAACUCUAUUUUUAAUAUACAUUGCUGACCCCUAAUGAUGGUCUAUUGAGAUGAGGGCGAGAAAUGUCUGAUCAAGUGGAGAUUAAUUUUUGACUGUGUCGCCCAGAAUGCAUGAAAAUGCACUCCUUUUUUCUAUUUAGACUCCCAGGAUGCUUUGAUUGAUUGACUAGUUUACAAAUGAAGGUGAUAAAAUUAGGUUGAAGACCACAUACAUUUCUUAAAAUGAGGCUGGCUGGUCGUGGAGACAAUGAGGUUUGGACAGAUUGUAUUGCUGGUUUAGGCAAUCUUCUGAGCAUGUCAAGAUUUAUAGACCUGUACUGUAAUGUUACAAUUGCAGCUCACUGAUAUAGGUUUCUUUUCAAAUUCUUUCCCAUUUUAUUUGAAAAAGGCCAUUAGAGAGUUAUAGACUAUUGAAAAAGCUUUUUCUUGGCUAACCCUUAAUAAACUCUUCCAAACAAGGACCACUGCAUUUUUAUAUUAAAUUUAGGCCAAAAUCUAUAAAACAUGCUAUCCCAGGUUGGAUAAUUUGAUUAUUAUUAUCUAAAUGGAGUUAUGGUUCAUAUUGGUUUGCAGUAAUGUACAUAGUAAAUAAAAUGUAAGUUGAGAUUUGUAUAAGAUCACAGGACACUGUGUUUUCUUUUUUGUUGUUGUUGUUUUUCCUGCAAGCCUUUCUUCAGGAAAUCUCAGCCAAUUUUCCCUGAGAUGAGAAAUUAAAAGAAAAAAAAAAAGAGAGAGAGACUCCAGUGGUGAAAUUAAUGCUGCAUUGUACUAAAACCAAAUUGCUAUUAAUAUUUUCUUGUUCUCAUCAUAAUAGAGGCAAAGCUACAAAUGUCUUAGGAGUUACCCAACUAAUAAGAUUUACCAAGGGGACCAAAAAGCAUGAGAAAAUACUCAGCAGAAUUAGAAACAAUUACUCCAUUGUAAGUUAUGAUGUGAGAAAUAAUAGAUGAGAUUCUGAAGUUAUUUAUGAAUUAGUCAAUUCUGAUUCAUACAUUUUUGCCAAAUAACUUAUGAAAUCAUUUUCCAGGCCCAUAGUCUUUUAUGAGAGUUCUAUACUUGGUUAAGGAUUUUCUUCUAGGGCUUUCUGCAGUUAUGCUGAAUUCUUCGAUGAUGCCUAGAUUUUGACCUACGUUUUCCACUCUGAGGGCAACCCACUGGCAGUGCCAGAAACUUCCCUGAGGUCUCCACGCUGGAGCUGCACAGCAUAUGAAGAAGUUCUAAGAUUUUACCUGUUCAGCAGGAGGUACUCGAAGUGGAUUGAGACUGUCAAAGAAGGUGGUAUGGCUGGGGGGGCUCAGCCCACGGCUCUCAGUAAAUGGUCCGAGAUCUCGACAAAUGAAUUAUCAUCACGAAUAUGAUUUUUGCUACACCUCUUAUUUCUAGGGUUCAGAAUAAGCACAGCACAAUUCAAAAAAUCUAGUUUAGACUGUGACGAACAUGGUACAUGACCUUGAGCAAAUUCCCUGCUGAGUCCCUUCCUCUGUCCUUAUGCCAUCCAGCUGCUUGCAGGGGCCAUUUUUUGGGGGGGGUAAAAUGAAGUGACAGAUAUGAAAGCUCUUUUGGAAGUACAGAAGGCUGCAGGAUCAUCAGUAAUUAUUUUUAAUCAUUCCCAGGUAGCUGCUCUCUGGCCUUUUUUAAGGUGGGAAGUGGACCAUUGUUAAGAGUCAGUAAGCGUAAGGGACCUUCUCUCACCGCUGAGGGCAGUUUACAAGGGGGUUGCCAGUGUGAGCGAAAGGAUUUAAGGGGGCUUAGGGUCAAGUGGUUUGAAGUACCCAGCCGAGCACCAGGCUGCUGCCACUGAUUUAGUUUAGAAGUGGAUGAACUUUGAAAUGCAGAACAUCAUUUCUGCAGAAGGUCAUCAUAUUUCUUGAUGAUUUACACGGAGAAGGCUGAGACUGUGCUGGGUUCAUUUUAGAUCCUCCAGUGCCAAGAGAAAAUAUGCUGAUGGAAGGGAUAGUGCCGGGGUGGCUGGUAAAGACUCUGGCUGCCAGAAGAAAUGGCAGAAAUGGACCGAGUUGAUUUCAGGGAAGGUGAUGAUGGAAUUUGCCAGCCUUCCCAGUCCCUUUCUGGGGGACUUUGCAGUUGGGAAUUUUGUACACAAGAGUGCCUGAACUGCCUUUUUACCCUCCUGCCACCAGGCACCUCUCAGAACUGUUGGUUCAGGCUGCAGCUGGGAGAUGGGACAUAGCUUUCCCUUAGGAAGAAGUCUUACACAUCUUCUCUUGCUCUAGAGGCCCCACACAGAGCCCACCUGGUUUCAAGAAGUGGUCUAAAGCUUUCUUCUUCUUCUUUUUUAAAUUUAUUAGUGUAUAGUUGAUUUACAAUGUUGUGUCAGUUUCUGCUGUACAGCAAAGUGACCCAGUCCUACAUAUAUAUAUAUGUUCUCUUAUAUUAUCUUCCAUCAUGUGCUCUUCCAAGAGACCUGAUAUAGUUCCCUGUGGUAUACAGCAGGACCUCAUUGCUCAUCCAUUCUAAGUGUGAUAAUAGUUUGCAUCCACUAACUCCAAACUCCCAGUCCAUCCCACUCCUGCCUUCCUCCUCCUUGGCAACCACCAAGUCUGUUCUCUACAUUGCAGCCUAAUUUCAGGGGAAAACAUUAAAAAGCUGACUGUAGGAUAUUACUUCUCAAAUAUACCCACAUGUCAGUAUUUUAAGUGUUCAAAGGCAGUGUCCAUUUUCUCAGCAUUCUGUUAUUUAACUGCAGAGGUCAUUCUUGUGUAAGAAUGUGCUUUUUUUUUUCUUUUUAAUCCAUGGAUAUUAAUGAAGUUAUUUUCAUUUC